CGGAUCGGAGCUGNAACCCGACUCCGUGAAGCUGGAUUCGCUAGUAAUCGCGCAUCAGCCAUGGCGCGGUGAAUACGUUCCCGGGCCUUGUACACACCGCCCGUCAAGCCAUGGAAGCCGGGGGUGCCUGAAGUGUGCAGCCGCAAGGAGCGCCCUAAGGUAAAACCGGUGACUGGGGCUAAGUCGUAACAAGGUAUC
This 198-nucleotide ribosomal RNA is filed under the name uncultured bacterium. Its description in RNAcentral is "partial 16S ribosomal RNA". It matches the Rfam family "Bacterial small subunit ribosomal RNA", at positions 1294 to 1500 of the family's 1533-position model. The record is from RNAcentral.